Molecule: ribosomal RNA, 113 nt
Filed under: Danio rerio (zebrafish)
Lineage: Eukaryota; Metazoa; Chordata; Actinopteri; Cypriniformes; Danionidae
Source: RNAcentral
UAAAGCAGCAUGUUGGAAUUGCUGCCUAAGACCAGAUACUGAAGCUAAGCAGGGUUGAGCCUAGUUAGUACAUGGAUGGUUGAUCACAUGGAAAAACUAGGUUGCUGUUGGAA